AAGAAAUAUAUCGAAGAGUUAGUGCUGGGUUAGCCGAAAAUCAAAGUUUAUCCGAAGCUUGGUCUAAAAUUCCCGAAAAAUUAGCUUUUUAUGAUUACAUCGGCAAUAAUCCGGCAAAGGGUGGGUUGUUCAGAGCAGGCUCAAUGGACAACGGGGAUGGAAUAGCUGUUGGGUGGUUAGGACAUCCUAUCUUUAGAGAUAAAGAAGGGCGUGAACUUUUUGUACGUCGUAUGCCUACUUUUUUU
RNAcentral lists this unclassified non-coding RNA (245 nucleotides) under Hevea brasiliensis (rubber tree). The record is from RNAcentral. Lineage: Eukaryota; Viridiplantae; Streptophyta; Magnoliopsida; Malpighiales; Euphorbiaceae.